Molecule: ribosomal RNA, 387 nt
Filed under: Triticum aestivum (bread wheat)
Lineage: Eukaryota; Viridiplantae; Streptophyta; Magnoliopsida; Poales; Poaceae
Description: partial small subunit ribosomal RNA
Source: RNAcentral
AUGACAAAUGCUAGCCCAUGUAAGACACCCAUGCCAACAAAAAUUGUACUCACUAAAGACACAAACGGUUUCCCUUUCGACCCAUCUCUUUACAGCUCUAUGAUUGGUUCAUUGCUUUAUCUUUGUGCAUCUAGACUAGACAUCAUGUUCAGUGUAUGCAUAUGUGCUAGAUUUCAAGCUUCACCUAGGGGAAGUCAUCAUAAGGCGGUUAAGCAUAUUCUUAGAUACCUUGUUCACACCCCAAAGUUGGGUCUAUGGUACCCCAAGGAUGCAAAGUUUGAUCUCACUGGGUACACGGAUGCGGAUUGUGCUGGAGACAAAGUGGGACGGAAGUCCACCUCCGGUGCAUGUCAAUUUCUUGGACGCUCCUUGGUAAGUUGGUCCUAG